Molecule: long non-coding RNA, 190 nt
Organism: Alosa alosa (allis shad)
Lineage: Eukaryota; Metazoa; Chordata; Actinopteri; Clupeiformes; Clupeidae
Exons: 3
Source: RefSeq, a predicted model, not a curated record
UUUCAUCCUCCACAGAAGUUUCUUGUUGCUAGACGACAUGCUGAAUACAAGUAUGGAUUUUGUGACACACAUUUGUGUUUCACCUACAGACUGGGAUGGCGUAGGCUCAGAUUGGAGCUGGUGACUUUAACCCACAGUCUUCAGAACCACCAGAGUCACCAAGCAUAGCUGCCCCUAAUGACAUUUCCCA